CCUACGGGAGGCUGCAGUGGGGAAUAUUGCACAAUGGGCGCAAGCCUGAUGCAGCCAUGCCGCGUGUGUGAAGAAGGCCUUCGGGUUGUAAAGCACUUUCAGCGGGGAGGAAGGCGGUGAGAUUAAUAACCUCAUCGAUUGACGUUACCCGCAGAAGAAGCACCGGCUAACUCCGUGCCAGCAGCCGCGGUAAUACGGAGGGUGCAAGCGUUAAUCGGAAUUACUGGGCGUAAAGCGCACGCAGGCGGUCUGUCAAGUCGGAUGUGAAAUCCCCGGGCUCAACCUGGGAACUGCAUUCGAAACUGGCAGGCUAGAGUCUUGUAGAGGGGGGUAGAAUUCCAGGUGUAGCGGUGAAAUGCGUAGAGAUCUGGAGGAAUACCGGUGGCGAAGGCGGCCCCCUGGACAAAGACUGACGCUCAGGUGCGAAAGCGUGGGGAGCAAACAGGAUUAGAUACCCCGGUAGUC
RNAcentral lists this ribosomal RNA (465 nucleotides) under uncultured Klebsiella sp. RNAcentral describes it as "bacterial SSU rRNA". It matches the Rfam family "Bacterial small subunit ribosomal RNA", at positions 338 to 795 of the family's 1533-position model. The record is from RNAcentral. Lineage: Bacteria; Pseudomonadati; Pseudomonadota; Gammaproteobacteria; Enterobacterales; Enterobacteriaceae.